Molecule: long non-coding RNA, 99 nt
Organism: Sinocyclocheilus rhinocerous
Lineage: Eukaryota; Metazoa; Chordata; Actinopteri; Cypriniformes; Cyprinidae
Exons: 3
Source: RefSeq, a predicted model, not a curated record
CUAUCUUUCAUUUUCGUCAACCUCCUUGUUCCUCGUGUUUUACUCUCCGGGGUUCUGGUUCCUCGUGUUUUAUUCUGCAGGGUUCUGGUUUAAUCGUGU